RNAcentral lists this ribosomal RNA (506 nucleotides) under uncultured bacterium. RNAcentral's name for it is "partial 16S ribosomal RNA". It matches the Rfam family "Bacterial small subunit ribosomal RNA", at positions 30 to 523 of the family's 1533-position model. The record is from RNAcentral.
AUUGAACGCUGGCGGCAGGCCUAACACAUGCAAGUCGAACGGUAACAGGAAACAGCUUGCUGUUUCGCUGACGAGUGGCGGACGGGUGAGUAAUGUCUGGGAAACUGCCUGAUGGAGGGGGAUAACUACUGGAAACGGUAGCUAAUACCGCAUAACGUCGCAAGACCAAAUAGGGGGACCUUCGGGCCUCUUGCCAUCGGAUGUGCCCAGAUGGGAUUAGCUAGUAGGUGGGGUAACGGCUCACCUAGGCGACGAUGCCUAGCUGGUCUGAGAGGAUGAACAGCCACACUGGAACUGAGACACGGUCCAGACUCCUACGGGAGGCAGCAGUGGGGAAUAUUGCACAAUGGGCGCAAGCCUGAUGCAGCCAUGUCGCGUGUAUGAAGAAGGCCUUCGGGUUGUAAAGUACUUUCAGCGGGGAGGAAGGGAGUAAAGUUAAUACCUUUGCUCAUUGACGUUACCCGCAGAAGAAGCACCGGCUAACUCCGUGCCAGCAGCCGCGGUAA